GAGAAGCAAGAAGAUAAGGGAUAAAAAGACGCGGAUAGCCUACGCGCAUCGGCGAAACCCUAGCGUCCGUAUGUCUCUCAACGCGAAGUCCCUAGCAAUCGAUAGCAUGCAUUUAACAAAGAGCUUGGAUCAUUGGCUUCCAAGAAUGGCGGGGAACUGAUGCUAGUCUAAACUUUGUGACAAGCCCGAAGGACAGUGAAUUGUAGGAUGUAUAAUCAAGUCAUCUGAGCCUCCUUGUAAACAGGUGGAUGGCAACAAGAAAAUAUUUAGUCUUCCUUCGACUAAACGUUUUCUUUUCGCUCACUCAGAAAGACGAUAUACACCGAACGUCUUCAAGCCUUUGGCCCGUGGGGAUCGCAUACAAAAGGUGAGUUAAUCUAGGGCUUUCGUUUUGAUUUCACGUUCAGCCACUGCCUAACAAAUUUUUUUUUAAAUCAAAGGCGCCAACCCCCUAGCCUUACAGAUUUAAAAUGCGAUCAGGGUUGCCAAAAGGAUUUAACGUCUCCAUGCCCUAUUCUACCCAUAGCUGACCACGAUUUUUCUUUUUUUACAUUUGGUGUGUGUGUGUGUCUGUGUGUGUGUUUUCAAGAUAGCCUAACAAAUUUUGAUCAUUUUUAUGCAUGUGUGUAAUUUUUUUUUGUUAAGUACGUGGUACCAAGUUAACGUCCCACAACAAAUAGAAAAGAAAAAAAACCAAUCAUUCCAACCCAUACACCUAAAAUUGGUUGGCAUUUUUUCCCUAACAGUUUUUCUUGUUUAUUUGUGUUUCCUUUUUUGUCCAGAAUAUAGUUCCCGGAGACAUCCUGGCACUCCCCUACAGUGUCACCUUCCCGCCAAACGGUUGCCCUAACAAAAUCGAAAAGCUAGAGAGACAAACGGUCUUAAAACCAAACAUCUAAAUAUAUACACGCGAAGAAACAACAACAACAACAACCGCGUCCCUGCCUAGCCGCAAGAAGCUAUGGAAACUGUAGGCACCUAAUCUCGAGGCGGCCGCGACAUCCUGUAUGGGACAAAAAACACAGUUAGUACACUUGAGCUAAGCUAGUCCAACCUCCUCCACUCCAUCCAACAUCCAAUUAUUUUAUUGUUUUUCAAUAAUUUACGUUUAUUCCCUAACACCUAGGCGCAUUUCUAUAAUCGUGGCGGACUGCGUCCGGGGAAAGUGUGAAGAAGCUACAAAAAAAAUGUACAAAAAAAAAAAAUCCUACCUAAACCAGAAGCUAUAAAUUCCUAGCAAAAAUUACAAAAAAAAAAGAAAAAAGUGUUAUACGACACGACGAUCCCCAGACAAUCAGUACACGGGCCACUUACCUAACAAAAGUAUUAAUAGAAAUUACCUGCCUCACGCGCGCGUAAGCUAAGGAAAUUCGCGUACAAUAGGGGGGGGGGGGAGAAUAAGCCCUGACAGAUUAAAAAGAAGGCCACCUCCUCCACUCCGACCGACCACGUCGACAAAAGCUAAAGGCUCUAGCUAAAAUGCUAUUGCGGAUUCCCUAACAGCGGAACGCGUUUUGGAAAAAAGAUAAAGUUCCAUAACAGUUCGGACUUGCAACCAACCAGAAACCAGACAAAACAACCACCAUCGACGAUAGCACAGGUUGAAUUUUGAAUAAUAAUUAUUUACGUUAAAUCCAAUAGUCGAAAAUGAUGGUGUUCUCCAGUGGAUUGCAUUCCUCCUAACCUUAAAAAAAAAAAAAAAAAAUUUUCCGAAAGAGUAUUUAAAAGAGAGAGAGAGAGAAGCAAGAAGAUAAGGGAUAAAAAGACGCGGAUAGCCUACGCGCAUCGGCGAAACCCUAGCGUCCGUAUGUCUCUCAACGCGAAGUCCCUAGCAAUCGAUAGCAUGCAUUUAACAAAGAGCUUGGAUCAUUGGCUUCCAAGAAUGGCGGGGAACUGAUGCUAGUCUAAACUUUGUGACAAGCCCGAAGGACAGUGAAUUGUAGGAUGUAUAAUCAAGUCAUCUGAGCCUCCUUGUAAACAGGUGGAUGGCAACAAGAAAAUAUUUAGUCUUCCUUCGACUAAACGUUUUCUUUUCGCUCACUCAGAAAGACGAUAUACACCGAACGUCUUCAAGCCUUUGGCCCGUGGGGAUCGCAUACAAAAGAAAGACGAUAUACACCGAACGUCUUCAAGCCUUUGGCCCGUGGGGAUCGCAUACAAAAGAAUAUAGUUCCCGGAGACAUCCUGGCACUCCCCUACAGUGUCACCUUCCCGCCAAACGGUUGCCCUAACAAAAUCGAAAAGCUAGAGAGACAAACGGUCUUAAAACCAAACAUCUAAAUAUAUACACGCGAAGAAACAACAACAACAACAACCGCGUCCCUGCCUAGCCGCAAGAAGCUAUGGAAACUGUAGGCACCUAAUCUCGAGGCGGCCGCGACAUCCUGUAUGGGACAAAAAACACAGUUAGUACACUUGAGCUAAGCUAGUCCAACCUCCUCCACUCCAUCCAACAUCCAAUUAUUUUAUUGUUUUUCAAUAAUUUACGUUUAUUCCCUAACACCUAGGCGCAUUUCUAUAAUCGUGGCGGACUGCGUCCGGGGAAAGUGUGAAGAAGCUACAAAAAAAAUGUACAAAAAAAAAAAUCCUACCUAAACCAGAAGCUAUAAAUUCCUAGCAAAAAUUACAAAAAAAAAAGAAAAAAGUGUUAUACGACACGACGAUCCCCAGACAAUCAGUACACGGGCCACUUACCUAACAAAAGUAUUAAUAGAAAUUACCUGCCUCACGCGCGCGUAAGCUAAGGA
This 2747-nucleotide long non-coding RNA is filed under the name Ixodes scapularis (black-legged tick). RNAcentral's name for it is "uncharacterized LOC121835585". The record is from RNAcentral. Lineage: Eukaryota; Metazoa; Arthropoda; Arachnida; Ixodida; Ixodidae.